GGAGGGAUAGGAUUAUUAGUCCCCAUGGAGAACGUGAUCUUAGUGUUGAGCGCCUAGAUCUGGAUGAUGAUAAAACAGUGAUGAAGAAGAAGCGUGCUGACAAGGAGAACAAGGAUAAGAGAUAUCGUGAUCACGAUGACAGGGAACCUGACAAUGAAAACAAUGGGGACACUAGCAUGCAUCGGCUUUCGGAGAAAAAGAAAUCUUCCCGAAAGGUUGAUGACUUUGGAGGGAAUUCUAAUUUGGCUUCCUGUGAUGAUAAAGAUACAUUGAAAAGUGAGUGAACGAGGCCCCUAUAUUUUAUUAGAAUAUAGAGUAAUUGUCCAAUUCUGGUAUCAACUUGCAUGCCCAUAUUUCUGCAACAGUGGAAUCCUGGGAUUUUUUGUGUUUUUUGUUUUCUUUGUAGGAAAUUAGUAUAAUUGAAAAAUCCUUAAGUGCACUAUAAUUUUUUUAAUGAUUUAUCUUAACACCCCUCUAAAAUAAAGAGAGAGUAAAAUUUAGAAAUUAUUUAUGAGUACAAUUUUUUAAGUUUAUGUUUCAAGAAAAAGACGUUACAAUAUGUGUUUAUGUAGAUUGCAAUAGCUCAUAUGGUUAUGGUUGACUUGUUAACGAGCCUUUUAAAAUUUGGUUGGAUUUAUCAUUUCAGGCAUGUACAGCCAAGAGUUCACCUUCUGUGAAAAAGUUAAGGAGAGGUUACGCAGUUCGGAUGAUUACCAGGCAUUUCUGAAAUGUCUUCAUAUUUAUAGCACCGAAAUAAUCACAAGAAAAGAAUUACAGAGUUUGGUAUGAAUAUCAUUCCAUCUUUUGUUGUGUUUCAACACUUCACUAGCCACUUUUUGGAUAUCAAUAGCUCUUAAUUUAUAUUUUUAUUCAGUUCAUUUUGUUCAAAAACCAUCUUAAUUAUGCCCCUAUUCCAACAAUUGAUUUACAUAAUAGUAGUAUAUGCUCCAACUUGCAUUUUAAUUUUCUAUCAUCUCUCUAUUUAAUGGCAACAUUUAUCUUGCUUUAAAUUGAACCUCUGAAUAUUGAAUCGCUGCUCUUCCUUUGCCUAUCUAUCAUGUUUACUCAGGCUCUGUCCUAUUUUUUAUUUGGUGGCAACAUGUAAAUGCACUUCUUUAUCUGUUACUAACAUGAGUUAUUUUCAGGUUGCUGAUUUACUGGGUAAAUAUCCUGAUCUCAUGGAGGGAUUCAAUGAAUUUUUGGAACGCUGUGAACGAAUUGGUAUUGCUAAUGUUUUGUCGUGUGUAACAUUUUACGUUUUGAUUUUUUUUGUUUCUAGUUCUGACUUGGUGUUUGUUUUGCAGAUGGAUUUCUUGCUGGUGUUAUGGGCAAAAGUAUGUAAUUUUCCUGCUAUUUGUUUCCAUGUUACUUUAUGUAUAGCAUGUAUCGUACUUAUUUUAUUACAUUCUUGAACCAUUAUAUAAUCUGAAUUCUAAAAAUAAGUAACUGUGACUUACUCAUUUGACCACAAAUUGUGGCUCAAAAAUUAAUAAGUCAAAUUUUUUUUGGUAAAUGUAAAGACUCCUAUUUGUGAUUGGACAAUGCUACAUGUAAAAACAUUUUUUUAUACAAUUCUUUACUUACUAUUCACGUUAGGAGUGGGGACCACAAGUCGUCAUUUUUUAAAUACAUGUGAGGUUCACACAUUAUGUGAGAGGGAGUGAAAGAUUUUGUGAACCAUAGUUUGCACAUAUAUAUUUAUCCUUUGUGAUGUUAUACCACUUUUGAAAAGGCUGGCAGUGAAAUUUGGGCUACGAGAGCCCAUAUCUUGCAAGUCCAAAAGCCCAAAUUAUUCUGUUUUCGCGCAAAAGCCCAAUAGUUUCCAAAUUUCUACUUCUAAUCCUCUUAUACACGUAAGUAUACCUCUUCUCAUAUUGAGAGAUUUCGGUUUUUUCACCUCCGUUUUUUCGUAUAGUUGAUUGUUAUUGUUAGAGUUCUCUCAAGGUUAGAGAGAGAAAGUUAGAAAGAAGGGGAAAGUAAAAGAAGGAAAAAUUCAGAAAACAAUUCGAUCCAAAGAAUUGAACUGAUCUUUCAAUAUUUGGUUGGUUAAGAUUAGAUCUGUUCGCUGUUUUUCCCUUUCUGAAGGUAAAGAACUUUACUGGUCAGUUUCUGUGAGAAGUGUUUUUUUUUCUUCUAAACUUUCUUUUUGUUCAUCUCGCGUUUGAAUUUUACGGUUUGUUUUAUUUUGAUGAUUUUUGUUUGUUAUUGCAGGAAUGAAGCGAUCACGAGAGGAGGUUUAUGUGAACCCUCAAUUUAAGCGGCCAUUGGGUUCUUCGUCUUCUCGUGGAGAAUCGUAAGCUCUUUAAUAUUUGUAUAUAUGGAAUUGGUUCGUUUCUUGUGAUUUAUUAUAUUCAUCUGUGGUAUCGUGAUUUUUUUCUCGGUAGUAGCGGUCUUUUGUUCGAAGAUAAACUAUGUGGUGUUGAAUUUAAAAGUUACUUGUUUUCGAUUCAAGUAAAAUUUUGACGAUCAGAGCUAGUGGAUAACAUUUUUGCUCUUCUAUAGAAACUCCGUCAGUUCUCCUUAACAGCAGUAAGAGAGAUGGCACCGGAAAUAGGAAGAAUUAGGUUAUACUAUCAUCUAGGGUAGCUGAGAGUUCUUGUUUUAUUUUUAAUUUUUUGGGGGGUGGUGGUAGGUGUGAUGGGCCGAUAGGGAAAUAAAGUUUGGGUCUUUAGACGUGGCGCUGCUUUGCUUUGGGGUUUAUUAUCAAGCACCGGAAAUAGGAAGAAUUAGGUUAUACUAUCAUCUAGGGUAGCUGAGAGUUCUUGUUUUAUUUUUAAUUUUUUGGGGGGUGGUGGUAGGUGUGAUGGGCCGAUAGGGAAAUAAAGUUUGGGUCUUUAGACGUGGCGCUGCUUUGCUUUGGGGUUUAUUAUCAAUUUAUUUUAUAGUUAUUACACCCUCAGUCCCACAAAGAUAGGCUUGCUUUUCUUUUUUCGUCAGUCCCAAAUUAUAGGCCACUUUCCUCAUUGAAAAUAUAAUUAAUUUCUUAGUUUACUAAUAUAUCCCUAUUUAAUGUACUUUAUUAUUAACAAAUUUGAACUACUAUUUAUAUCAUUAUUUUAUGUAAAGGUAUAUUAGGAGAUUGUUUUCCAAUAAAUUACUUUUCUUAAUCUUUGUGAAAAUGGAAACAAGCAUAUCUUUGUGGUACGGAGUAAGUAUUAUUUCCUUUUUUCUAUGGGCGAUGGGAUUCAUGGGAACGGUUCAAAGUUAUAAACGUCUCAAUUAUUUUUUUGGCUGUAUUGAACGGAGGUUUUUACAUUGAACCUGACUGGUAGUCGUAGUAGUGGAAAUUAACGACCUUUAGGAACAAACAUAGCAGCCAAUGAUAUGAUAGUGAUAUUUUCGGUGGAGGAGAGUACUCAUACGGUCUUGUGUCUCUUGACUCUCUUCCGAAGGUAUUCUCUGUUAGCAUUCUUGCCUGUGCUCUUCUAAGUGUAACAUAAUGGAUAAGUGAAAGCAUUGACUAUCUAGACGCAUACUUCAUUCAAGGGUCCUUGACCAUCCUUUAUAAAUGGGAAUUAUGGUUUCUGGAAAAGUAAAUUUAAGUGCACAAGGGAGAGAACUAAUAAUUAAUUAGAGCUCAUGUGUGCAGUGCACGUGUUGUCUAAUUAAGUUUCAGUUGUAUCUAUUUUUGAAUUAUCAUUGUGACGUGUGUAUUUUAAAUUUCCUUGUAAUAAAGCUAUGGGCUGUCACAUGCCCCUGGCGGCGGCGGCGGCAGCGGUAGCGGUGUUGGAGGAGGUGGUGCUGUUGCUGGAGGUAGUGGCAAUGUCGGUGGUGGUGCUGGUGGUAGUACACAAAAGCUUACAACCAAUGAUGCCCUAAGUUAUUUGAAGGAAGUCAAGGACAUGUUCCAAGAUGAAAGAGAAAAAUAUGACCGGUUCCUUGAUGUCAUGAAAGAUUUCAAGGGACAAAAGUAAAUCAUCUUCCUUGUUAAGAUUAGCUUGUGCAUAUUACUAUUGAAUGGAUCACUUUUUAGCAACUUCAUUUUAAUAUGUUACUUGCAGAAUUGAUACAGCUGGUGUUAUAGGACGGGUGAAAGAGUUAUUUAAGGGGCAUCCUAAUCUUAUCCUUGGGUUCAAUACAUUCUUGCCCAAGGGUUAUGAAAUCACCCUUACUGAUGAGGAAGAGGCUCCAAAAAGGACGGUCGAGUUUGAAGAGGCUAUAAGUUUUGUAAACAAGAUUAAGGUGAAAAUUUCUUAUCACUUACACAGUAAGGGGUUUGAAAUAAAGUUUCUAAAUAGAAUAUAAAUACCAAUAUCCUACUGGACUUUGUGCACCUGCAGAAACGAUUCCAAAAUGAUGAUCAUGUUUAUAAAUCAUUCCUUGACAUCUUGAAUAUGUAUCGGAAGGAACACAAGGGUAUCACUGAGGUUUACCAAGAGGUAUAUGCAUCUUGUUGAAAUGUUUUGUGUUGAAUAGAAUAAGCAGACUCCUUGGAAUUUGUCAAUUUCUAGAUUUUUGUGGUGCUUCUAAUUAUUUUAGUUUGUAAAAUCCAUUUGCAGGUUGAGGCCCUUUUUAAUGACCAACCAGAUCUCCUUGAGGAGUUCACUAGAUUUUUGCCAGAUACUUCAGCUACAGCAUCAGUGGCACAUGCUUCUUUUGGACGGCGUCCAUUCAAUCAUUAUGAUGAGAGGAGCUCUGCAAUGCCCACAAUGCGGCAAUCCCAUGUAGAUAAGGUUAUAAUUUUGUACACUUGUUUUUCUUUAUGUAUCUGUUUUAUCAUUUCUUGUUUCUAAAUGAGAUGGCCUACAACAUUUAGCAACGUUUGCGGAGGGAUAGGAUUAUUAGUCCCCAUGGAGAACGUGAUCUUAGUGUUGAGCGCCUAGAUCUGGAUGAUGAUAAAACAGUGAUGAAGAAGAAGCGUGCUGACAAGGAGAACAAGGAUAAGAGAUAUCGUGAUCACGAUGACAGGGAACCUGACAAUGAAAACAAUGGGGACACUAGCAUGCAUCGGCUUUCGGAGAAAAAGAAAUCUUCCCGAAAGGUUGAUGACUUUGGAGGGAAUUCUAAUUUGGCUUCCUGUGAUGAUAAAGAUACAU
Molecule: long non-coding RNA, 5036 nt
Filed under: Olea europaea (common olive)
Lineage: Eukaryota; Viridiplantae; Streptophyta; Magnoliopsida; Lamiales; Oleaceae
Description: long non-coding RNA (OEUR_LNC011862)
Source: RNAcentral